Molecule: ribosomal RNA, 382 nt
Filed under: uncultured eukaryote
Lineage: Eukaryota
Description: partial 18S ribosomal RNA
Rfam family: Eukaryotic small subunit ribosomal RNA
Source: RNAcentral
CAAUAGCGUAUAUUAAAGUUGUUGCAGUUAAAAAGCUCGUAGUUGGAUUUCUGGUUGAAGCGACCGGUCGGGCGUUGAUUCGUCUGCACUGGAGUCGGUUUUGGCCAUCCUCUAGGAAAGUGCGUCUGGUAUUAAGUUGUCGGGCGUAUGAUCCUGGUCUUUUACUGUGAAAAAAUUAGAGUGUUUAAAGCAGGCCUUCGCCUUGAAUACAUUAGCAUGGAAUAAUAAGAUAGGACUUUGGUCUAUUUUGUUGGUUUGCAGACCGAAGUAAUGAUUAAUAGGGACAGUUGGGGGUAUUUAUAUUCCGAUGUCAGAGGUGAAAUUCUUAGAUUUUCGGAAGAUAAACUUAUGCGAAAGCAUUUACCAAGGAUGUUUUCAUUAA